Molecule: long non-coding RNA, 1042 nt
Organism: Dreissena polymorpha
Lineage: Eukaryota; Metazoa; Mollusca; Bivalvia; Myida; Dreissenidae
Exons: 2
Source: RefSeq, a predicted model, not a curated record
CUAGAAAUCAAUUGUGUGCUGAUCAAAAAUUGAUUGUAUGUUAACUGCGUUUCACCAAAAGAAUGCCAAUAGACACAAAAUCUAUAAAACAUCGUCUUAAAGCGAAGACAAUUUCUAUAAAAGUAACAUUUUCUCAGAAAACGUCAGGCAAAGUGAUUUUCUAACAGGAUUCCUUAUAUGUUACAACAUGUCACCAUACUUUAAAAGUGCACUUUUUUUUACAUGACAUUUUCCUUGUUAUGCUCCUCAUUAGUAAGAAUGCUACAUUUAAUCAAUCCUUUAAACUUGUGAUCGAACGGGAACAACAUCGGAUUUUGAGUAUUUAUAAAAAAGGUAAAAAAUAUGGACUGCGUAGCUCUACUGUGGCUUACUAUCGCCCUCCUGAUGUCGGUGGUCAGGGUCUCUGAAGGCUCUGUGUGGAAGUGCUGCGGGAGGUGUCGGUGGCUGGGCCAGGAGUGCAUCCGGUUCGGCAAGCAAAGCUGUCGUUGUCGGGGUAAGAUGGCGAUCAUGGCUGACAGCGGAUAUCCGGUGCAUGGGAACGAAGAUACCCGUAUUCAAGAUGUGCACCAAAAUAACACGCACGACAGUGUGUUAUUGAAAGAAAAACUAUGAUUAAUUUGAGUCCCCAUGGCUUUAUUCGGGAGACAGGACAUUUAUUCUACCAAUGAAGAUAAUACAGUUCCCUGACACAAACAAUUGAGCAUUGUGAAGAUAAAAAACUACAAUAACAACAACAACUGCAGCAACAACAACAGCAACAGUAAAAUAAUGAACAGUUUUAAUAAUGACAAUUUUAUAUAGUCUUUAGGCAUUAUAAAUGAUACCUAAACAUGUUAUACUCUUAAGUCUUAAAAAACUUUAUUCUGUUAAAUCUAGUACCUUUAUAAAUUAGCAGUGUUAUGUAUAUUUGACAUCAAAGACUUUUAAUAUACCAAUAGUAACUUUUUCAAUGAUUGCCACGACAUUAUUUUUAACUGCAGUAAUAAGAAAUAUUAUCAUGAAUAAACAACUGACUACACUGUUGAAUAAAAAACUAACAUAA